This 469-nucleotide ribosomal RNA is filed under the name uncultured bacterium. RNAcentral's name for it is "partial 16S ribosomal RNA". It matches the Rfam family "Bacterial small subunit ribosomal RNA", at positions 28 to 507 of the family's 1533-position model. The record is from RNAcentral.
GACGAACGCUGGCGACGUGCUUAACACAUGCAAGUCGAACGGUGAAGCGAGUGCUUGCACUCGUGGAUCAGUGGCGAACGGGUGAGUAACACGUGAGUAACCUGCCCAUCACUCUGGGAUAAGCACUGGAAACGGUGUCUAAUACUGGAUACGACCAACCCUUGCAUGGGGUGUUGGUGGAAAGAUUUAUCGGUGAUGGAUGGACUCGCGGCCUAUCAGCUUGUUGGCGGGGUAAUGGCCCACCAAGGCGACGACGGGUAGCCGGCCUGAGAGGGUGACCGGCCACACUGGGACUGAGACACGUCCCAGACUCCUACGGGAGGCAGCAGUGGGGAAUAUUGCACAAUGGGCGAAAGCCUGAUGCAGCGACGCCGCGUGAGGGAUGACGGCCUUCGGGUUGUAAACCUCUUUCAGCAGGGAAGAAGCGAAAGUGACGGUACCUGCAGAAGAAGCACCGGCUAACUACGUG